RNAcentral lists this transfer RNA (69 nucleotides) under Marmota monax (woodchuck). RNAcentral describes it as "tRNA.Ala". Lineage: Eukaryota; Metazoa; Chordata; Mammalia; Rodentia; Sciuridae. The record is from RNAcentral.
GUUCAUAGCUCUGUGGUAGAGCCCUUGCCUAGCACAUGUGAGGCACUGGGUUCAAUCCCCAGCAGAACA